GAGAGAGGCCCUGAGGCAAUAGGAACUGCUAAUUUCUACCGCCCGUGGUUAAAAUCCACGGCUCACUCG
This 69-nucleotide transfer RNA is filed under the name Piaractus brachypomus (pirapitinga). RNAcentral describes it as "tRNA-Ser". Lineage: Eukaryota; Metazoa; Chordata; Actinopteri; Characiformes; Serrasalmidae. The record is from RNAcentral.